Molecule: long non-coding RNA, 662 nt
Organism: Marmota monax (woodchuck)
Lineage: Eukaryota; Metazoa; Chordata; Mammalia; Rodentia; Sciuridae
Exons: 3
Source: RefSeq, a predicted model, not a curated record
GCCUCUUCUGGACAGCCUGGUGACAAGGCCCUCUGAACCCUGCCAGCCCAGAAUUCACUGAGCUCCCUCUGUGGCACUGCCCUUGUUUCCUUUCCCGGAGCAGAAUGUGGCAUUGCACCCGGGGCUGCACGAUGACCGACAUCAGAGGACUGCGUGUGCCAGAAGAUCCCAGGGGAAGGAGCAGGAGCAUUUCAGAGAUGCUCAUCCACGAGGCCCGCACCUCACAAGGGGCUACUGUGCAGAGAGGAGAGUCCAGCGCCUUACCUGAAGAAUCCCCAGAUGCCCAGGCGGUACUGGAUGGUCACCACCACCACGUUUUCAAGGGCAGAGAGGGGCAGUCCAUCAUAGGUGGAUGCCCCGCCCACCACCAGACCACCUCCAUGGAUCCACACCAUCACCUGGGCAACACAGACACAACCAUACUAGUUAUAGGAAGCACAAUUGGAGAAGACCUCAGAGGUCUGUCACCUACAUCUUGACUGUGACUGCACAAAUGCCAGUAGCAACAUCCACCAGUGUUAAGGCUGGAGUCUCUCUCUGCUUCAGGAUCACCUCUGCCACACACUCCGCCAUGAUGUUCUGCCUCACCUCCAGCCCUGAGGAAUGGAGCUGGCCUUCUCUGGACUAAGACUCUAAAACCAUGAGCCCUCAAAUAAACUUUU